Molecule: ribosomal RNA, 490 nt
Filed under: uncultured bacterium
Lineage: Bacteria
Description: partial 16S ribosomal RNA
Rfam family: Bacterial small subunit ribosomal RNA
Source: RNAcentral
AUUGAACGCUGGCGGCAGGCCUAACACAUGCAAGUCGAACGGUAACAGGAAGAAGCUUGCUUCUUUGCUGACGAGUGGCGGACGGGUGAGUAAUGUCUGGGAAACUGCCCGAUGGAGGGGGAUAACUACUGGAAACGGUAGCUAAUACCGCAUAGCGUCGCAAGACCAAAGAGGGGGACCUUCGGGCCUCUUGCCAUCGGAUGUGCCCAGAUGGGAUUAGCUAGUAGGUGGGGUAACGGCUCACCUAGGCGACGAUCCCUAGCUGGUCUGAGAGGAUGACCAGCCACACUGGAACUGAGACACGGUCCAGACUCCUACGGGAGGCAGCAGUGGGGAAUAUUGCACAAUGGGCGCAAGCCUGAUGCAGCCAUGCCGCGUGUAUGAAGAAGGCCUUCGGGUUGUAAAGUACUUUCAGCGGGGAGGAAGGGAGUAAAGUUAAUACCUUUGCUCAUUGACGUUACCCGCAGAAGAAGCACCGGCUAACUCCGUG